Molecule: ribosomal RNA, 375 nt
Filed under: uncultured bacterium
Lineage: Bacteria
Description: bacterial SSU rRNA
Rfam family: Bacterial small subunit ribosomal RNA
Source: RNAcentral
UAAUACGAAGGGGGCUAGCGUUGCUCGGAAUCACUGGGCGUAAAGGGCGCGUAGGCGGACCCUUAAGUCAGAGGUGAAAGCCCAAGGCUCAACCUUGGAAUUGCCUUUGAUACUGGGGGUCUAGAGACCGGAAGAGGUGAGUGGAACUGCGAGUGUAGAGGUGAAAUUCGUAGAUAUUCGCAAGAACACCAGUGGCGAAGGCGGCUCACUGGUCCGGUUCUGACGCUGAGGCGCGAAAGCGUGGGGAGCAAACAGGAUUAGAUACCCUGGUAGUCCACGCCGUAAACGAUGGAUGCUAGCCGUUGGCAGGCUUGCCUGUCAGUGGCGCAGCUAACGCUUUAAGCAUCCCGCCUGGGGAGUACGGUCGCAAGACUA